CUUCAUCUUCCUCAUCACCUGAUCCCCUUUCCUUGGAUUUCUUUGUACUGGCAGUAGCUAAGGAGAGUGGAGUUUCUGGAUUUGGUUCUUUUUCAAGAUUCCAGGAGAAGAUUAAGAAUAGGAUUGGGGUUUAUCUUGGAGUCGUCUUCCUGUCUGUGGUUGCAAACCUUAUAGUGAACUUUUCCUGUGUCAAAUCUGAGGCCUUACACCCAGUGGGCCCAGCCCUGUUGGAUGCGGCCGAUCUGCCAGUGGUCUGAUAAGUGCUUAUGGUUGUGGAAACAAAUAUGGAAGAAAAAAGCCAAAGUAGAUC
This is a long non-coding RNA of Dioscorea cayenensis subsp. rotundata (Guinea yam), 310 nucleotides long. RefSeq lists it as uncharacterized. The transcript has 4 exons. The record is from RefSeq and is a predicted model, not a curated record. NCBI's taxonomy places the organism in Eukaryota, Viridiplantae, Streptophyta, Magnoliopsida, Dioscoreales, Dioscoreaceae.